AUACAGAGGGUGCGAGCGUUAAUCGGAAUUACGGGGCGUAAAGCGCGCGUAGGCGGCUUAUUAAGUCAGAUGUGAAAUCCCCGGGCUCAACCUGGGAACUGCAUCUGAUACUGGUAAGCUAGAGUUUUGGAGAGGGAAGUAGAAUUUCAGGUGUAGCGGUGAAAUGCAUAGAGAUCUGAAGGAAUACCAGUGGCGAAGGCGACUUCCUGGCCAAAAACUGACGCUGAGGUGCGAAAGCGUGGGUAGCAAACGGGAUUAGAAACCCUAGUAGUCC
RNAcentral lists this ribosomal RNA (274 nucleotides) under uncultured bacterium. Its description in RNAcentral is "partial 16S ribosomal RNA". It matches the Rfam family "Bacterial small subunit ribosomal RNA", at positions 523 to 796 of the family's 1533-position model. The record is from RNAcentral.